This 1277-nucleotide long non-coding RNA is filed under the name Mus musculus (house mouse). RNAcentral's name for it is "long non-coding RNA chr11:80466458-80467735". The record is from RNAcentral. Lineage: Eukaryota; Metazoa; Chordata; Mammalia; Rodentia; Muridae.
UUUUUUUUUUUUUUUUUAUUAUUAUAUGUAAGUACAUUGUAGCUGUCUUCAGACACACCAGAAGAGGGAGUCAGAUCUUGUUACGGAUGGUUGUGAGCCACCAUGUGGUUGCUGGGAUUUGAACUCUGGACCUUCGGAAGAGCAGUAAGAGCAGUCGGGUGCUCUUACCCACUGAGCCAUCUCACCAGCCCAAGAAAAUAUCUCUCCCAAACGCAGGCACGGACGGUUUUAUUUUUUAAGACAGGGUCUUGCUAUGUAUCUCAUACUGACCUGGAACUUAGAGCAGUCCUGCCUCAAUUUCCCAAGUGUUGCAAGUAUGAGCCACUUUACCUAGCUCUAAGAGAAAAACUUCCUCAAUAGGCUAAAAUGGGAGAAACACAUCUUUAAGCUUUAGGAUGGGAUUUGUAUAAUCUUUUCUGAACUGGUGUUCUUUUAGUUGGAGUUUAAUAAUCACCUUAAAAACCAGAGAGUCAUUCUAUGACCUCCCCCCCACCCCCCAAUCAAAAACAGCCUAGCCAGGAAGCCAUCGAAGAGAACUCUUAAAAAUUGUGGUAAGGAUGUUGAAGUGUAGUCUCCACAGUUGAUGGCUUCUGGCAGGGGGUUGGGUUGGGAAAAACUCAGUUUUCUUUAAGGAGCUGGCCACUGGGAGUUUGACUAUGCUUCAGUGAGUAUAUGGGCAACACAAAUUGGACUUGUGUUUUGUUUUUUGCUUUCCUUUCUUUGUACCUGUCAUUUCCUACUUUGUGGGUUCUUUCAUUCUUCCAUCCCCUUUUCCACCCUUUCAACCCCCUAAUCCUAGAUAAGAGAGAAGCAAAGGAUAGAAAGGAAGGGGAUGGUGUUAUUGUUAGACUACUUCCUGCUGAUUAGGACUGUGAGUUUCCUUGGCAAGUUUGUUCUUCACUGUCAGGAUAUCUUCUUGUUUCUUCUUUGCUCACAAAGACCCAACAGCAACCAACUAACAACCAAUAACUCACCAACAACCCACCUUGCCUCUUAGAGCCGUAGCAUUUAUAUACCCUCUGAAAAGUCUCUAGAAUUUCAAAUAUCACACAGUUGGAGAAACUAUUUGCUGCUGGUAAAACCAUUGUCCUGCUAGAGCAUGAGGCAAAUCAUGUCAGCUGCUGUGAGCAAUCUGAAAGAGUCCUAUAGCUCACUUCAGAGAGUAAACAAAAGCAUAUACUUAAGUUUUUAAGGACCUGGGAGGACUGGGAAGUGAGUGUGAUCAGGGUGCAUUAUGUGAAAUUCUCAAAUAAUCAAUAAAAAUAUUAGUGUUGAGG